CCUACGGGAGGCAGCAGUGAGGAAUAUUGGUCAAUGGGCGGAAGCCUGAACCAGCCAAGUAGCGUGCAGGAUGACGGCCCUACGGGUUGUAAACUGCUUUUAUACGGGAAUAACGCGCCUUACGUGUAGGGCUUUGCAUGUACCGUAUGAAUAAGGACCGGCAAAUUCCGUGCCACCAGCCGCGGUAAUACGGGAGGUCCGGGCGUUAUCCGGAUUUAUUGGGUUAAAAGGGAGCGUAGGCCGCAUGACAAGCGUGCGGUGAAAUGGCCGGGCUAAACCCGGGCCUUGCAGCGCGAACUGGCGUGCUUGAGUCCGCGGAAAGCAGGCGGAAUUCGGGGUGUAGCGGUGAAAUGCUUAGAUAUGACGAAGAACCCCGAUUGCGAAGGCAGCUUGCGGCAGCGGAACUGACGCUGAUGCUCGAAAGCGCGGGUAUCGAACAGGAUUAGUACCCUAGUAGUC
RNAcentral lists this ribosomal RNA (459 nucleotides) under uncultured bacterium. RNAcentral describes it as "partial 16S ribosomal RNA". It matches the Rfam family "Bacterial small subunit ribosomal RNA", at positions 338 to 795 of the family's 1533-position model. The record is from RNAcentral.